GGAGUCUGGUUCAACAUGACUCAGACCUCAGCUAAAGAAGCUGAUGGACUGAGUCAGGGCCACACUACCC
RNAcentral lists this microRNA precursor (70 nucleotides) under Neotoma lepida (desert woodrat). RNAcentral's name for it is "mir-631 microRNA precursor family". It matches the Rfam family "mir-631 microRNA precursor family". Lineage: Eukaryota; Metazoa; Chordata; Mammalia; Rodentia; Cricetidae. The record is from Rfam by way of RNAcentral.